Molecule: ribosomal RNA, 443 nt
Filed under: uncultured bacterium
Lineage: Bacteria
Description: partial 16S ribosomal RNA
Rfam family: Bacterial small subunit ribosomal RNA
Source: RNAcentral
CCUACGGGUGACAGCAGUGGGGAAUAUUGGGCAAUGGACGCAAGUCUGACCCAGCAACGCCGCGUGAAGGAUGAAGGUCUUCGGAUUGUAAAGUUCUUUUCUAAGGGAAGAAGAAAGUGACGGUACCUUAGGAAUAAGCCUCGGCUAACUACGUGCCAGCAGCCGCGGUAAUACGUAGGAGGCAAGCGUUAUCCGGAAUGACUGGGCGUAAAGGGUGCGUAGGUGGGUUGGCAAGUCAGAUGCGCAACGUCGGGGCUCAACUUCGGAACUACUACUGAAACUGUUUGUCUUGAGUGCAGGAGAGGCAAUCGGAAUUCCGUGUGUAGCGGUGGAAUGCGUAGAUAUUAGGAGGAACACCAGUGGCGAAGGCGGAUUGCUAGACUGUAACUGACACUGAGGCACGAAAGCGUGGGGAGCAAACAGGAUUAGAUACCCGUGUAGUC